GCUGGGCAUGGUGGUGCAUGCCUAUAAUCCCAGCGGCUCAUGAGGCUGAGGCAGGAAGAUCGCGAGUUCAAAGCUAGCCUCAGCAAUUUAGCAAGACCUUUAGUGAGACCCUGCCUUUA
Molecule: small RNA, 119 nt
Filed under: Marmota monax (woodchuck)
Lineage: Eukaryota; Metazoa; Chordata; Mammalia; Rodentia; Sciuridae
Source: RNAcentral